GAUGAACGCUGGCGGCGUGCCUAAUACAUGCAAGUCGAGCGAACGGACGAGAAGCUUGCUUCUCUGAUGUUAGCGGCGGACGGGUGAGUAACACGUGGAUAACCUACCUAUAAGACUGGGAUAACUUCGGGAAACCGGAGCUAAUACCGGAUAAUAUUUUGAACCGCAUGGUUCAAAAGUGAAAGACGGUCUUGCUGUCACUUAUAGAUGGAUCCGCGCUGCAUUAGCUAGUUGGUAAGGUGACGGCUUACCAAGGCAACGAUGCAUAGCCGACCUGAGAGGGUGAUCGGCCACACUGGAACUGAGACACGGUCCAGACUCCUACGGGAGGCAGCAGUAGGGAAUCUUCCGCAAUGGGCGAAAGCCUGACGGAGCAACGCCGAGUGAGUGAUGAAGGUCUUCGGAUCGUAAAACUCUGUUAUUAGGGAAGAACAUAUGUGUAAGUAACUGUGCACAUCUUGACGGUACCUAAUCAGAAAGCCACGGCUAACUACGUG
Molecule: ribosomal RNA, 497 nt
Filed under: uncultured bacterium
Lineage: Bacteria
Description: partial 16S ribosomal RNA
Rfam family: Bacterial small subunit ribosomal RNA
Source: RNAcentral